AGAGCGAACGCUGGCGGCAGGCCUAACACAUGCAAGUCGAGCGCCUGUAGCAAUACGGGAGCGGCAGACGGGAUAGUAACACGUGGGAACGCGCCCUUCGGUUCGGAAUAACUCAGGGAAACUUGAGCUAAUACCGGAUACGCCCUUACGGGGAAAGAUUUAUUGCCGAAGGAACGGCCCGCGUCCGAUUAGCUAGUUGGUGAGGUAAUGGCUCACCAAGGCGACGAUCGGUAGCUGGUCUGAGAGGAUGACCAGCAUCACUGGGACUGAGACACGGCCCAGACUCCUACGGGAGGCAGCAGUGGGGAAUAUUGGACAAUGGGCGCAAGCCUGAUCCAGCCAUGCCGCGUGGAUGAUGAAGGCCUUAGGGUUGUAAGUCCUUUUAACGGGGAGAUAAUGACGGUACCCGUAGAAUAAGCCCGGCUAACUUCGUGCCAGCAGCCGC
Molecule: ribosomal RNA, 445 nt
Filed under: uncultured bacterium
Lineage: Bacteria
Description: SSU rRNA
Rfam family: Bacterial small subunit ribosomal RNA
Source: RNAcentral